GCCCAGGUGUCGAAAUUGGCAAACGAUGCGGACUCAAAAUCCGCUGGUAGGAAUACCUUGAGGGUUCGACUCCCUCCCUGGGCA
Parcubacteria group bacterium is the source of this 84-nucleotide non-coding RNA. The record is from Rfam.